AGUGAACGCUGGCGGUAGGCCUAACACAUGCAAGUCGAACGGCAGCACAGGAGAGCUUGCUCCCUGGGUGGCGAGUGGCGGACGGGUGAGGAAUACAUCGGAAUCUACUUUUUCGUGGGGGAUAACGUAGGGAAACUUACGCUAAUACCGCAUACGUCCUACGGGGGAAAGCAGGGGAUCUUCGGACCUUGCGCGAUCGAAUGAGCCGAUGUCGGAUUAGCUAGUUGGCGGGGUAAAGGCCCACCAAGGCGACGAUCCGUAGCUGGUCUGAGAGGAUGAUCAGCCACACUGGAACUGAGACACGGUCCAGACUCCUACGGGAGGCAGCAGUGGGGAAUAUUGGACAAUGGGCGCAAGCCUGAUCCAGCCAUACCGCGUGGGUGAAGAAGGCCUUCGGGUUGUAAAGCCCUUUUGUUGGGAAAGAAAUCCAGCUGGUUAAUACCCGGUUGGGAUGACGGUACCCAAAGAAUAAGCACCGGCUAACUUCGUGCCAGCCGCCGCCGUAA
This 506-nucleotide ribosomal RNA is filed under the name uncultured bacterium. RNAcentral describes it as "partial 16S ribosomal RNA". It matches the Rfam family "Bacterial small subunit ribosomal RNA", at positions 29 to 523 of the family's 1533-position model. The record is from RNAcentral.